UGCGCAGGCGGUUCGGAAAGAAAGAUGUGAAAUCCCCGGGCUCAACCUGGGAACUGCAUUUGAAACUGGCAAGCUAGAGUCUCGUAGAGGGGGUAGAAUUCCAGGUGUAGCGGUGAAAUGCGUAGAGAUCUGGAGGAAUACCGAUGGCGAAGGCGGCCCCCUGGACGAAGACUGACGCUCAGGUGCGAAAGCGUGGGGAGCAAACA
Molecule: ribosomal RNA, 206 nt
Filed under: uncultured bacterium
Lineage: Bacteria
Description: partial 16S ribosomal RNA
Rfam family: Bacterial small subunit ribosomal RNA
Source: RNAcentral